GAAAAAUCAACUUGAGCUUUUUUUUGAAUUGUGAAUUUGCAGCUCUAGAUCCAGCCACCAAAGAGAACCAGUACAAUAACUCUUGCAUCAGGUUAAUUUAAAAUGAUGUCAACAUUACACUUUUUUUUUGUCGACCAAAGAUUUCAUUCAGCCCAAAGGGCAAACAUACAAGGUACAGAGUCCAAGAUCAAAACAAGCCCAUUAAAACAAACAUACAGCACAGUCAACACGUGUAUACACAUGUGUUAACUCAAUAAGCUAAUAAAAGACAUGUGUCUUGAUUUGAGCUUGUCUUCGUUACGCUGCUGUUUCCACCACCACUCUUCGCCGCCGAUCAGAGCAAACAUGUGCUUCACCACCAACGACGAUGACCUCCACAGAAAAAGAUUUGUACCUCGAUGUUAACUUUUACCGAUCUUUACUUCUAAAUAGAAUGUGUCGGAAGAACAAGCCGAAAUAAAGAUGAUGAUGAUGCGUGCUUUUAAAACUUCUUCAGAUUCAGUCUUCAAGGAAGCUUCACCGUUGCUCGGACCCAAUUUAUUGGUCUGAGCUGUUGUCCGUCGUUGCUCCAAGUGUCGAGCAAGAGGAUGACCAGCAAAGAUAUUAAUCCAAAGCAAGAUAGAAACCUGAAACAAGAUUUAAAAGAAAAACCAGCGAUUCUGACAAAGAUAAUCACUAAAGAUCAGAAAAGAAAAGAUCCGGAUUGAACCGGAGAGAAUCCGAACUAAAUCGAAAAUUUAUUAUCCAAAAAAACGGAAAAGGAAAUCCGAACAAAGUUGGAAAAUUAAUAAAACAAAAAAACCUGAGAAAAUCCGGCUAAGAUACCGACUUCGAUGAGAAGUCGCUGAUAGAUAUGACUUUUUGUGGUCUCAGGGCUAUCAAUCCCCUUGUCAAUGUAGC
RNAcentral lists this long non-coding RNA (900 nucleotides) under Eutrema salsugineum. RNAcentral describes it as "long non-coding RNA (ESAL_LNC001316)". The record is from RNAcentral. Lineage: Eukaryota; Viridiplantae; Streptophyta; Magnoliopsida; Brassicales; Brassicaceae.